This is a non-coding RNA of Paramuricea clavata, 819 nucleotides long. NCBI's taxonomy places the organism in Eukaryota, Metazoa, Cnidaria, Anthozoa, Malacalcyonacea, Plexauridae. The record is from the annotation of a GenBank genome assembly.
CGAUUCGGUCGAAAAAUUUCGCCUAGUGGAAAACCGCCUUUAGUUAUUGUGUUAUGCCAGUCAGAUACUCUUCGUUUUUAAUUAAACAAGUAAUAAUUGUCCAGAAAAUCAUAUCCAAAUCCGAAAAUCUUUAAUUUAAAAAAGUGUAGGGACAUUCUAAAGCGCUGUACAAUAAUAUAUAAGAAAUAUAAAAUUUUAAGAUAGGUAUAAUACUAUAUAUAAAAACUACAAGGAAGUGCUAAAAGCUUUCCUAACCUUCCUAACUCACCAAUGAGACCGCUGUUAUUUGUCGAACGGGCUCAAAAAAGGUAAAUAUAACACCUUGUUACUGUUUGAUACGGCCAUAGUGGAAGUCAUGUUUACUUGACAACUUUAGCGUGAUUAAAUAAAGCUUACUCAACCUAGACCUAGGCCUUUACUCGGUUGGCUUUGGCAGAUUCGGUCAAUUUCGGGGCUAGCAUUUGGUAAGUAUCGCCAUGAAAGCUUAAGCCAGUUUUCCACUUCAAGAGGGUCCUGAAGGGGUAAAAUGGGAACUGGGAUUGAUCUAUUUUUAGACUGGGAAAAUAGGAUUUGGGUUGCUGGGACUGGGAUUUGGUCACUGGGAAUGGGAAAUGAAGUCCUCAAAAAUGGGAAUGGGAUUGAUGUAAUGCGAGUCGAUUCUCAAUUUUUCCACGUUGUAAGUAUUUUAAAAUACAAUUUUGAUCCGUUUUUGGUGUCUUUGGUCAUGAUUUUUGUUGUUAACUAUAUUAUUCACAGCACUACCUGCGAACAGGCAUACUCUGGAGCCCGGAAUUCUGCGUUUUCUGAUUAUGCGUGUCC